This is a long non-coding RNA of Rhagoletis pomonella (apple maggot), 432 nucleotides long. RefSeq lists it as uncharacterized. The transcript is spliced from 2 exons. NCBI's taxonomy places the organism in Eukaryota, Metazoa, Arthropoda, Insecta, Diptera, Tephritidae. The record is from RefSeq and is a predicted model, not a curated record.
CACUACGAUGGAGCAGAUAUCCGUACGCUUGGAGGGCCUUCUACGCUGCGAUGGACUGCCUUAUCGGCUUGCAAUGUAUGUACAUAUGUAUGUCUGUACGCAUAUGGAUACACGCAAAUGGUUCUCCUUGCAGUUUGAUCGUCUGAGAACCUAAGCUCUCCAAAUUACUUAAAUAUAUAUAUAUGUACAUACAUAUUUAGUAUUCACUUCUUCAUACUCGUUUGUUCUAUUUAGUUUCUCUUAAUUUGGAGUGCACACAAUUAUUUACAUACAUAUCUAGUAUAUUAGAAUGAGCGCGGGUACAAUAACCACAUAACACAAAAAGUUGAGGUAGGUUAGGGUUUUAAAUUUAGCUUAAGUCUGGAAAAAAAUGUUAGUAAUAAGGAUAGUAAUGAAUAAUUGUCAUUAGAAUUUUACAAUUAGGUUAUUUUG